CGGCACGGGUGAGUAACACGUAUCCAACCUGCCGUCUACUCUUGGACAGCCUUCUGAAAGGAAGAUUAAUACAAGAUGGCAUCAUGAGUCCACAUGUUCACAUGAUUAAAGGUAUUCCGGUAGACGAUGGGGAUGCGUUCCAUUAGAUAGUAGGCGGGGUAACGGCCCACCUAGUCUUCGAUGGAUAGGGGUUCUGAAAGGAAGGUCCCCCACAUUGGAACUGAGACACGGUCCAA
This 236-nucleotide ribosomal RNA is filed under the name uncultured bacterium. RNAcentral's name for it is "partial 16S ribosomal RNA". It matches the Rfam family "Bacterial small subunit ribosomal RNA", at positions 100 to 334 of the family's 1533-position model. The record is from RNAcentral.